UAGGGAAUCUUCCACAAUGGACGAAAGUCUGAUGGAGCAACGCCGCGUGAGUGAAGAAGGGUUUCGGCUCGUAAAGCACUGUUGUAUGGGAAGAACAGCUAGAAUAGGAAAUGAUUUUAGUUUGACGGUACCAUACCAGAAAGGGACGGCUAAAUACGUGCCAG
RNAcentral lists this ribosomal RNA (164 nucleotides) under uncultured bacterium. RNAcentral's name for it is "partial 16S ribosomal RNA". It matches the Rfam family "Bacterial small subunit ribosomal RNA", at positions 355 to 511 of the family's 1533-position model. The record is from RNAcentral.